Magallana angulata is the source of this 658-nucleotide long non-coding RNA. RefSeq lists it as uncharacterized. The transcript is spliced from 2 exons. The record is from RefSeq and is a predicted model, not a curated record. NCBI's taxonomy places the organism in Eukaryota, Metazoa, Mollusca, Bivalvia, Ostreida, Ostreidae.
CUAAAAUCAGAAGAAAGACGGGACGAUUCUUUUCCCCGGUAGUAUCAUGCCAUGAAUCGUUCGUCGAAGUUUUGAUUGCCACAUUAAUCAAAUACUCCAGAAAAGACAGUUUUCAGGGUGUAAAGAUUUACAAGCUUGGAGACAAUGAAUUUCUUCUCAUCCACUAUGCUGAGAGCAGUCAGAGGCUUUGUAUCUCCAAUACUACAGACAUACUCCAGGAGCUUCUCUACCAUUCACCAGAAAACAUCCUUCCUCAGUUCACUGUCUGUUCCUUGCAGCCCUACUCGCAAACUACUUAUGCCUUCCACCAUCAGCUUCGAGCAAACCCGAGCUUAUCAGCCAAGAGGGGUGCCCAAACUACGAUGUAAACACUGUUAUUUUGUCACAAGGCAUGGCCAAUUAUUCGUGGAGUGUACCAGUAAAAAGAGACAUAGACAAUUUCAAAUUGUUGGGAAAAGUCGCCGUUUCAAAGAUGAUUUAACAGAAGGAAAGUUUCACACCUUUGUUUAUAAGGAUCAUAAACAUAAAAGAUUUUAUAGAUUUGGAGAAAAUGUGUGGACUAAAUCAGAUCUUGUUGGUGAUAGAAUGGGGAAAGACUUAUAGACAUUUUCAAAGUUUUUUUUUUACUUUGUACAGAGAAUAAAAGAAGUAAAAUUUA